This 1534-nucleotide ribosomal RNA is filed under the name Monobothrioides longicollis. RNAcentral describes it as "Monobothrioides sp. l JB-2021 partial large subunit ribosomal RNA". It matches the Rfam family "Eukaryotic large subunit ribosomal RNA", at positions 66 to 940 of the family's 3401-position model. Lineage: Eukaryota; Metazoa; Platyhelminthes; Cestoda; Caryophyllidea; Caryophyllidae. The record is from RNAcentral.
UAACCAGGAUUCCCCUAGUAACGGCGAGUGAAGAGGGAAAAGCCCAGCACCGAAGCCUGUGGCAGCUUUGCUACUAGGCAAUGUGGUGUUUAGGUCGGCUCGCGGGAUCGCCACUCCACUCCAAGUCCAGCCUUGAUUAUGGUUGCCAGGAAUUGGCCCAUAGCGGGUGAUAGGCCCGUAGGGGUGGAGGUAUCAGAUGUGUAAGGCGAUUCACCAGGCCGGCCUUAGAGUCGGGUUGUUUGCGAAUGCAGCCCAAAGUGGGUGGUAAACUCCAUCCAAGGCUAAAUACUGGCACGAGUCCGAUAGCGAACAAGUACCGUGAGGGAAAGUUGAAAAGUACUUUGAAGAGAGAGUAAACAGUACGUGAAACCGCAUAGAGGUAAACGGGUGGCGUCAAGCUGCAAGCCCGGAGAAUUCAGUCGGUCAGGGUGUUGUGUCUGCGCCCAGCGCAGCUAUCAGUCGGUGUGCUUGGGCUAGUCCGCCGGUAGAUGGCGGGCCCAGCUGUCACAGGCUGGGAUUUGCCUUCCGAGUGUUAGUCGGAGCAAGCUAGUCGUCCGUGGGACUGCCUGGCCGAUGCACUUUCUCUGUGGUGUACACCACGACCGGUGGAACUGCCAGUCUACCUUAGCCAGCUUCGUGGCUCGCUCUUGGCCUCUUCUCGGGGCUGGAACGAGUGGCGAUCACAGGCAACUCCAGUGCACGGUGCUUGCGGGUUUUCGCUCGUAGGCAUGCUAUCGGGAACUGGUUGUCAACGAGUCUGUUUGGCCCGGACACUGUCCUGUAGUCGCAGUGUGCAUUCUGGGUGACUCGGUGGGCUAUGGCGGCAGGAGAAGCUGUGCAGGGCACCGGAGAUGUCGGUCUGUAUAUACGACGGCCGCACACGCACUACAGCUUGGCGUGUGUCAUGCAGGGCACUGAUAGCGUUGCCAGGGUCUGCCAACGCUUGGGUCUGAUCAUCGUGUCGCCCGUCAAAAUGACGGGUCCGGUGGUGGCCUGGGCUUGGAUGGUGCCUGUGGGCAGCGUGGUCAUAGUGCGGCCGUAUUGAGAGACCAGAUAGUCAGUGGUGUAGUGGUAGACGAGCUACCCGACCCGUCUUGAAACACGGACCAAGAAGUUCAACAUGCGCGCGAGUCAUGGGGUCCUACGAAACCCAAAGGCGCAAUGAAAGUGAAGCCUUGCUUGCAAGGUGUGGUGAGAUCCCGCUGUUUCUCGCAUGCAUUUGUCACUUGUGACGAGGACUGGCAGCUGGGGCUAGCUAUGUUGUCUCGCACAACACAUCUAGACGAGCAGUGGGCGCAUCACCGGCCCGUCCCAUGAUGUGGCUAUUGGUUCAGUGCAGUGGUUGGGCAACCGAUUGUCUGUCUGGCCGGUACGUCAUCGGGGCGGAGCAUGAGCGCGCAUGUUGAGACCCGAAAGAUGGUGAACUAUGCUUGCGUAGGUUGAAGCCAGAGGAAACUCUGGUGGAGGACCGCAGCGAUUCUGACGUGCAAAUCGAUCGUCAAACGUGAGCAUAGGGGCGAAAGACUAAUCGAAC